AUGCCAAGCGCAAAGUCAAGCAAAGCAAAGUCGGAAUCUGUCGGUAAGGUAGUGUAAAAAAUUAUCCGUUACAGGCAGUUUUUAAUUUCGCUAACUGAUGGCGUUCUGGUCGAUCAGAUGUCCGUUGAAGUUUCAGUUUGAAUUUAGUUUAAAAGGCUGAGAUAGAAAGAGCAACAAGAACAAACAUCGUCACGUUCGCGUGAACGUUGAUCGUUGGUUUUCGUCGCGUAAUCGAAUUAAUUAUUCAAGUUUAAAUGCCAAUAAUCAACGGAUUAGGCGACGUUAAUCUACUGUUACUUUACUUUAAACAAUAAGUGGUGAUCGGCGUGUGUGCUCAAUAUUUUGUCUCGAACAAAUAGGUGCUUCUAUUUUAGUCACUGAGUGAGAAAUGUUACUCAAUUCUUGACAGUUGACCUAUCCGCAGUCUUAUCUAUCCGGGAACUUGACGCUUGUGAUAAUUUCAGUGCAUAGGUUAUAAGUUGUCAAAGUUUCGUAAAAGUUCAUUCCACACUUUGGCAAUUUCUAGCCAACUGUAAACAAAUUCUGAAGAUACAGUUGAACAACGUUUUUCUUUAAACCUCUGAUACCAGAUUUGUAUAUUUUUAUUUAAAAAUGAGACAGUCGUGUUUCUUUGUUGUACUUUUUACCGUCUUGACGUACCAAGAUGGAAAUGCUUCGAUAUAUGAUUGGGUCUGGAGUAAAAAUUCCGAGGAAUCAAAUGAUGUCGUGCCAUCGGAUGGCAUUCCCUUGGUUUCCAUCCCUUAUGAAUCCAUGACGGAAGAUGAAAAGUUUCUCCAGGAGGCAGCAAAGUUUUCAGAAAUUCAAGUUUCCUCAGCGCUGGAUACUUGUCAGCACAAAGUCGUCAUGAAAAUAAAAACGUCAUGCAGUGACAUGACUGAGGAAGAACUUGCUAAAAUGAGCGUCAGCUUAUUGAAUUGUCAGUCUGCUGCCGAAGGGAGAAAAUUGUUUCCGUGCACCGAGGAAAUGACGCUAAGACAAUGCACGACGGAAAUGGAUCCAGAUAUGUGGAACGCGUAUCACUUAAUGAGCAACAGAGCAAGAGCUGUAUGUUAUGCAGCUAGAAAUAUUCAAUUUCGAGCUCUGACUGAAAUUACAGUAAAUAAACUGAUGAACACUGCGCAUUCGCAAAUCAAGGCGAUGGGCUCUCUGAAGGAAAGUCAAGAACGUCUUGAAGAGCAAACCAUAGAUGCUUUGAAUUCCGUUGCAACUGGCAACAAGGUUUUGCUUGAGCAACAGGAAUCGUUAAAGGAAGCCCAAUCCUCUGCUCAUAGUCUUGUGGCCAGGAAUCUUCAGAUAUUAAACAACGAAAAAGCUCUCAUCAGGUCUGGCCAUGCACAGCUACUUGCAAUGACGGAUGACAUCAGGAAGAAAUUAGAGAAAGCAAGCCAGGAACUUGCCGAUCACUCUACAGAACGGAAUGAGAAUCAUCAGGAGGUUUUAGCUGAUUUGAAGAAUAUGCAAGAACAAGCUCAUCAGAUUUGGGAUAGAAUUGAAUCCAGUACCAACCAUAUAUUAGAGCAUAAUAUGGAGGCCGCUGAACAAUAUGAGCAAACUCUGAAACAACUUGAUCAAAUAAACCAAACCGUUCAUUUUCUGUUGGACUUGACCAAUACAUUGAAAACUGAAGUUGACCAAAAACUUGGUUGGAUCACAAAUUACAUUGGCGACACUGGGGAUCAAUUUGAAAAAGUGUAUCGCACCGGGCUGCACGCUAUAUACUUACUCAUAGCUAUGAUUGUUGCAUCUUUUUUGCAAGCACCUUUUCUAACUAGAUUUACUAUAAUGGGUAUUUUACCAUUGAAUCUUUUGUCAUACUUGAAAGAAGGUGCCGAAGCUUCUCUCGAUUUUGGCUCAAUAACUGCGCUCAUAUUUCUAAUAACUGGAAUGCAUUACCUGAUUGUUGCAAUUCAUUAUAUACUCAGACCUAAAGACGUAGCUAUAAAACCAACUAAUACUGGUGUCAUGCCAUCGAUAAAUAUACUGGGUGCCAAUAGUACACCAAUUAAUUACAUCAAUGGUAAUAAUGUGAGAAGAGAUGCUGCAGUAAAUGAUACAAAAGAAUCUGUAUUGUUUACUAUGUUGCAUAAAAUUCUUGGCAUCCCAUCGGUACUUAUUUACCAAGCGAACUCAUGUAAAAAUAAACUUUGGUCCUGCGUACCAACCAUGCCGUCUUGGGGUAGAGGUAACUCACAACUGCUUCACGAAGAAAUGUCAUGUUCGUAUUUACCUUCAAAGAAAUCUCGCGAAGAAUUAAUUACUGAUUACACAGGACACUAUCCAAAUAUGUCAGACGAUAUGUCGUCGGCUUCAAUUCACGAAUCACGUAAUUUAUUAAACGAACAUUAUGAUAACUACAACGAAAGCGAUGAUCUUGUUGAUGCGACAGAACUACGCCGUCGUACUACGAGAAACGGGUCGGUAACUAGAAGCAACUUUGUUUAUCCACCGUCACCUUCGAGGAGGUUGGUGAAAUAGGGUGGUCCAAAAAAUUUCAACUUUAAUCUUGAAUAACUUUUGAAAGAGUUGAGUUAUCGAAAAAUUAUAAGAGACCAUUUUUAUAGAUCAUCAUUUCCUACAAAAAUAUUUAGUUGAUAUUUAUGUAUGUAUAUUGCCUCGUCACUGAGCUACGAAAUUCAGAAUGGAAGUAAAAUUAUUUUCGCGUACUAAUUAAAUGGAAAAUGAAAAAUGGGGUUCAGGAACUACUAAAUAUUAACAUUAUGGGCUCAAAUUUUAGCAGACAUCUUGUUUCCUCUUCCUACAACUGUUAAAGGUGUGAUGAAGACGAUUUUUCUUGACCUUGAUGACUUGUUGAUUAAUGUUAUUCUUGGAUAUGAAGGUCACAACUGAAAACACUUUUUUAUAGUGUUAACGUUUCAGCCCUGAUGGGGGCCCUCCUCAGAACCAAUUUAUUUAAACAUCUGUCACGAACAAAAAUAAUAAAAUAAUGUACAACUCCGUUAUAACAAAAUUAAACAUAAGUGGUUUAGAUAAUAAGCAAGGAUGUUUAUGCAGAUAUAAAUGAGAGGAAUUACCUAGUGUGGGAUGACACUUUCAAUUACAGCAGACAGAGAACACUCUUAAGUAGUGAAAGCGUGUUGGUGAAUAAAUAAUAAAUAGAAAGAAUAAAAAAAAAACAAAAACCGAAGCACACUGCGAUCGCGAUACGUAGUUCCCAAGACUUCAUCCUUGUAGUUAAUUUGAUAAAAUAAAACACACAGCCGUUAUAGGUUUAAAUCAAGAGCACAUUUGCACAUGUGGAACGUCCAGUGUGUAGUGGGGGGAGAUCGAUAUCGAUAGUUAUCAGAGCAAACGCAGAGUCAACGGGUUAAAAGGAAACCAAAAUUUUGUUAAGAAGGUAAAAUCGAGAGCAAGCUCAGUCGGUAAUGGAUAAUUACAAUGGUUGUAUCACAGAGAUGUAAAUAGUACUCAGAUGUUCGAUGUUUUGUCUUCGGUUGACAGAAUUGGGAUGUGCAACAAUAUUGCACAUUUCUAACAAUAGCCUGUUGUAAUACAAUGGUUCAACGUCAAUAAUGCUGGCUUGAGAAUAAUUGAAAGAGUGGUCGAAAUCGGUGGCAUGCCUUGUCAGUGCAGUAUAAUUUAUAUAAUUUAAACCUAUAACGGCUGUGUGUUUUAUUUUAUCAAAUUAACUACAAGGAUGAAGUCUUGGGAACUACGUAUCGCGAUCGCAGUGUGCUUCGGUUUUUGUUUUUUUUUUUAUUGUUUCUAUUUAUUAUUUAUUCACCAACACGCUUUCACUACUUAGGAGUGUUCUCUGUCUGCUGUAAUUGAAAGUGUCAUCCCACACUAGCAACACACCUUUUAUGACUGGUACCAGCAAAAACCAAUGUGGUGCAUUAACCAGAACUGGAAAACGAUGCCGUUUAUCUUCAAAUCUUGGAGGGAAUUUUUGUCACCGCCACAGCAAUGGGUCUUCCUUUAUGGGUGACUAAACUCCAAGGGACGUUAAUACGAG
This 3994-nucleotide unclassified non-coding RNA is filed under the name Neodiprion lecontei (redheaded pine sawfly). RNAcentral's name for it is "protein brambleberry, transcript variant X4". Lineage: Eukaryota; Metazoa; Arthropoda; Insecta; Hymenoptera; Diprionidae. The record is from RNAcentral.